RNAcentral lists this ribosomal RNA (246 nucleotides) under uncultured bacterium. RNAcentral's name for it is "partial 16S ribosomal RNA". It matches the Rfam family "Bacterial small subunit ribosomal RNA", at positions 15 to 254 of the family's 1533-position model. The record is from RNAcentral.
GAUCCUGGCUCAGGAUGAACGCUGGCGGCGUGCUUAACACAUGCAAGUCGAACGGACUUUAAAUGAAACCUGGUGAUUUUAAAGUUAGUGGCGGACGGGUGAGUAACGCGUGGGUAACCUGCCUUGUACUGGGGGACAACAGUUGGAAAUGACUGCUAAUACCGCAUAAGCGCACAGCUUCGCAUGAAGCAGUGUGAAAAACUCCGGUGGUACAAGAUGGACCCGCGUCUGAUUAGCUGGUUGGUG